AUGGUCAAUACCUAACGGCUGAACCAGCAACUUGGAGGAAUGUAUAGCUAACGCUAAAUGUAUUUUGUAAAAAUACAGAGGCGAUUUAUUCGUAUAAAAUUCUAGGUAGAAUUAUGAUAAUGACAUUAUCUAUCUAUAAGUCUUGUCCAACAUGCGUGCCAGCAGUCGCGGAAAGACGCUAAAGACUAGUGUUAUUCAUCUUUAAUAGGUUUAAAGGGUACCUAGACGGUAAAUCAAGCCUUAAUCGGGACUAAUUUAACUAGAGUUAGAUGUAAGGGUGCAUUAACGUACUGUUGAGUGUAAAGAUGAAAUUUUAUUAUACCAGAUGAUUGGCACGGGUUUAGGCGAAAGCAUCACCUUAUGUAAUAACUGACGUUGAGGGACGAAGGCUUUGUAUAGCUAAAAGGAUUAGAUACCCUCGUAGUCUAAGCAGAAAAUGAUGAGUGUCAUAGGUUAAAUAUUAUUUAACCUAUAAAUGAAAGUGUAAGCAUUCCACCUCAAGAGUAAUUUGGCAACAUUGGAAUUGAAAUCAUUAGACCGUUUCUGAAACCAGUAGUGAAGUAUGUUGUUUAAUUAGAUGAUACACAAAAAACCUUACCACAAUUUGAAUAUUUUACAAGCGUUGCACGGCUGUCUUCAGUUAAUGUCGUGAGAUUAUGGUUAGUUCCAUUAAUUAACGUAAACCCUUACUUUAUUUUAUUUUAUAUAAAGUAGUUCGCCGCUAUAUUGGUGAGAUAAAAGGGAGUAAGACAAGUCAUCAUGGCCUUAAUAGUAUUGUGGGCUA
Molecule: ribosomal RNA, 784 nt
Filed under: Leptogium sessile
Lineage: Eukaryota; Fungi; Ascomycota; Lecanoromycetes; Peltigerales; Collemataceae
Description: SSU rRNA
Rfam family: Bacterial small subunit ribosomal RNA
Source: RNAcentral